AGAGUUUGAUCCUGGCUCAGGAUAAACGCUGGCGGCGUGCCUUAUGCAUGCAAGUCGAACGGUCUUGAUUUAUCGAGACAGUGGCAAACGGGUGAGUAACACGUAAGUAACCUAUCCCUAAGUAGGGGAUAACUCUGAGAAAUCGGAGCUAAUACCGUAUGUGGUGAUGGGGGUAAUGCCUCAACACUAAAGCCUUCGGGCGCCUGGGGAGGGGCUUGCGGCCGAUUAGCUAGUUGGUAGGGUAACGGCCUACCAAGGCGAUAAUCGGUAGCUGGUCUGAGAGGACAUUCAGCCACACUGGGACUGCGACACGGCCCAGACUCCUACGGGAGGCAGCAGCAAGGAAUAUUGCGCAAUGGGCGAAAGCCUGACGCAGCGACGCCGCGUGGGGGAUGAAGGCCUUCGGGUUGUAAACCCCUUUUCUCAGGGAAGAAUAAUGACGGUACCUGAGGAAUAAGUCACGGCUAACUACGUGCCAGCAGCCGCGGUAAUACGUAGGUGGCUAGCGUUAUCCGGAUUUACUGGGCGUAAAGAGGGCGCAGGCGGCUUUUCAAGUCGGAUGUAAAAUCUCUCAGCUUAACUGGGAGAGACCAUUCGAUACUGUUAAGCUAGAGGACAACAGGGGGAGGUGGAAUUCCCGGUGUAGUGGUGAAAUGCGUAGAUAUCGGGAGGAACACCAGUGGCGAAGGCGACCUCCUGGGUUGUUGCUGACGCUUAAGCCCGAAGGCGUGGGGAGCAAACAGGAUUAGAUACCCUGGUAGUCC
Molecule: ribosomal RNA, 764 nt
Filed under: uncultured bacterium
Lineage: Bacteria
Description: bacterial SSU rRNA
Rfam family: Bacterial small subunit ribosomal RNA
Source: RNAcentral